CUCGGCCAUCUCCUGGGCCAUCUCCUGAGGUAGCUGCUUCACAGCCCACUCAUCUACGUACUCCAUUAUCUGGAUCAGACACUCAUUCUCCUCAGCUGAAGGACGAGGUUCCAUGUCGAUUGUAUUUGGUAGAUCCAACUAGUGGAGAGACUUGUCUAGUGGCAGAUGCAUAUUCUUAUGCUUUUGAUGAGACCACUACAGUUCAUGGGUCUAGAAUGAUGAAUGAUCACCUAAAAGUGAAAAUUCAUCGAAUUAUAGAGAAAUAUGGUCAUUUGCCACUACCUGUUCCCGUCCCUGCAUAUGAGAUCGACACUACAGCUACUGCUUUGGGUACUUGGGUGCAAUGGCCAAAAAAUUUAGCACAAAUGUUAAGUGAUGAGGGAUUUCGGGGGAGGCUGUUAGAUCUUCUAGCCAGUUGCAUUCAUCAGCCGGUUCGGCUUCUCAGUUU
Long non-coding RNA from Beta vulgaris subsp. vulgaris (sugar beet), 448 nucleotides. RefSeq lists it as uncharacterized. The record is from RefSeq and is a predicted model, not a curated record. The transcript is spliced from 3 exons. Lineage: Eukaryota; Viridiplantae; Streptophyta; Magnoliopsida; Caryophyllales; Amaranthaceae.